This is a long non-coding RNA of Brassica napus (rape), 2591 nucleotides long. RefSeq lists it as uncharacterized. The transcript has 3 exons. NCBI's taxonomy places the organism in Eukaryota, Viridiplantae, Streptophyta, Magnoliopsida, Brassicales, Brassicaceae. The record is from RefSeq and is a predicted model, not a curated record.
CGCAGCCUCUUACUCGUUACUGCUGCAGAAAUUUAGUCAGAAAGGAGAACAAGCAGUUUAAGGGAGCAACCGCUCCAUAACCAAAGAACUGUGCAAAAGCAUGGGUGGAGAACCAGAAUGGUUGCGUAAUCAGAACCACCAGUUGCACUUGGAACCAUCAUGUAUUACCUCCUUCUUCGUCACCUCACUUUUUCUAUUUCAUGUUUCAAAAAAAAAGAAAAAAGAAAAAAAAACAAGAAUAAGGUGAUGGAGAAGGGGAAGAAAUCAAAGAAACAUGAGCCACUGGGAAGGUCGAGCAAGAGAGUGGGAUACCAAGCGGAAAACAUGAAGAGCAUGCAGAUGAUCUGAGCAGCCAGACGGUUGAUCCAGAUAGAGCAGAACAGUCGUUCCAGAGGUAGCAAAAACGAGUAGAGGCUGUGGACAUCAAUGGAUCUAUCCUCUCUUGCUAUUUUGCGCGAUAUCCUACAUCCUCUACAAAAAAUGGUAGCCCCUAAAUACUCUUAACUCCACCAUCAAAUAGCAUGUUCAAUACUUAGACCGUCUACCCUGAAUAAUGCUUGUGAUGAGAAGUUCACGCUACUCUUAAUUGAGUGUAAGGAGCUUUGUCUGGAAAGUGUAACUUUUGCAUGUUUGAGAUAUAUAGUAUGGAGCCGAUCUUGAACAGCAGCCAGUGAGAUUUUGGUAAGGUGUGUUGUCCUUGUUUUAUUGCUUGUAUGGUGCAGAGAUUCGUGGUUAAAGUAUGGUUGCUAAGAAUAGGAUAGUUCCCACACUUUCAAACCUUUCUCCAUGUUCUUGAUACUUGGCAUUGUUUGAGGACAAACAAGAAUCUAAGUCUGGGGGAAUUGAUAUGUUGAGUCUUCAUCGAGUCCUUUUAGUCUUUUUCGAGUCAUGACAGGUCUGGAGUUGCAUUGGAUGGGAGAUGGACCAGCUGGAACAAAAAAGGCAGAAAAGAGUACCUUUUGGUGACUUUCACGCAAAACAGUCUGACGAUUGUUCCCGAUCGCGCGGAACACCCCGGGUGCAUGUUCCAGCGGCAGAGAUUUUUAAUUAAACUACAAGUCAUUACUGAAUUUUUGUAAUGACCCGCUCCCAGAGUAUUUUUAAUUUCGAAGAAAAGAAAUCGCUAGAGGUUAUGAACCAACCCAAUUUCAAAAUUGGUUUAGUUUUACCUCAUUUUAUUGAAAUGAACCGGUUUGAUAGUUUUAUUAUUAUUAAACCAAAGCUUCCUCAAUCAUUUUAACCGUGUAUGUGUGCGUUUAUACCUAAGAAGCCUAAACAUUGUCCUCUUCCUUUGGAGCCGUCAACAUCGUGGGGGAGAGAGAGACAGCUCAGCCACAUUUUAUUUUUCCUCCCCAUUAACCUCUCCACCGUUCACCCACCACCUUCUCCUUCUCUCUCUAUUUUCCUUAUGUUCACGUCAUCACCUGAGAUCAAGCCGUGUCCCGCCAUCAUAGUCAUCAUUCUUAACCUAUCAGCACCAUUCGUUGCUGGAUUUAUCAUAGCCCACCGGAGCUGAGAUCGUGUUGACGGAGGUCCAUCAACGAGACCUUUGUGGACGUUAUGAACCGGGUCCUAGUGAUGGGCGUUAGCAAAAGCCAAGACUAAGGCGAAACCAGAGCCGUCGCGUCUUGACACCACCACCACCACCGAUCCACACCGCAGUGAACCUAAAGUCACCGGAAGUGCAUCCCAUUUCACUGGAGACGCAGCCAUGUUGUUGGAGAUUAAUCGUUAUCAUUGGACGCCAUUAACAUUGUCUCUUUGUGGGAAACAAUAUUUUCAUGUCAUGAAAAUCUAGUCGUGUUAUAUGAGGCAUACCCGUUUCCGAGAUUUUCCUGACUCAUUUCCAAAUUAGAUAAAGGUAAGGUUGAUUGUGUGGACCGGAGCGUGAGGCUAUGAAAACCAUCGGGAAAGAGUGUUUAGAAUUUGGGUAAUGUUUGGGAGUUUAUAAAGAUAUUUUUCUUGUAGACUAAAAGAUGUUCAGUAUUUAGUCUCGUAUUUUAUCUAUAAAGUGGCAGUAUUUCUUCGUUUUACCGUUAACAUUUGACUCGAUUUUUACUUAGAAUUUUCAAUGCGUUUUUCAAAUAUUUCCGGGUUGGGGUGUUUCAAUUUGCCCUAAUUAUCUCAUCUUUUUCUCCCAGCCGCAUGUGGCUUUGAUAUAUCUUCUUUUUCUCUUUCUUUUUAUUUUCUACACUAGUUUUUAAACAAGAAACCAUUGGAGACUUUUGUACUUGAAGAUUUGCUACCUUGAAAGGGAGAAGGCUUCAUCUCUCUCGUCCUGAGAAGAUUCCUGAACCAUAUCUUAUUUAUUUAUAUUGAUUAAACAUGUUUUCUUCAUCUAUUGUCUCUGUGAUUUCUCUGUUCAUGGCUGAGUAGUCCACUUGCUUAGUCUAGGGUGUUAGGGUGUUGGAUCCGUGAGCUAAACAUGAAUAAGUUAUAAAUCGAUUAUCUUCAUUCAUUACUGUUCUUAUUGCUUGCAUUAAACUGACCGCUUAAUGUUAGAUCCUAGGUUUAACAUGUUCAUUAACCGUGUAAUAGGUUCCUAGAUCUGUUAUGAAUGAGUAUUGCAUCCCUAAUCAGCGAAAGUAGAU